Molecule: long non-coding RNA, 1555 nt
Organism: Coregonus clupeaformis (lake whitefish)
Lineage: Eukaryota; Metazoa; Chordata; Actinopteri; Salmoniformes; Salmonidae
Exons: 3
Source: RefSeq, a predicted model, not a curated record
GCUAUGUCAACAACACAAAUAGCUUUACUGGUUUGGGAAGUAGAAUUGGAACCAAAUUGGAAUUGAACUUAGUUGAAACAGAACAGCUAACUAACAACACAACUCUCUUUGCACCCAGAUUCCAGUCAGAGAGGGAGUCUGGGGAUCGGAACUUUGCUAUUGGCUACUAUCUGAAGGAGAAGAAGUGCUUUCCAGAAGGGACAGACAUGACUUCCAUUUUAGACCUCUACUUCCAGGUGGGGUAACACACCGAUGGAAGAGGCAGUGCACUUUGGACACCACGAUGUUGUGACCAUGCUCCAGGACUACAAUAACAAGUACAGUCCACCGGGGGGCGCCACUGAGGACAAAGAGAAGGAGAUAUCGGAGAAGAACAUUGACGGCCUAUUAUAAAAAAAUGAGCCAACUAAUAAUCUUAUUUAUCCAUAGAAAUUAAAUAACUAGAACGGACGUUCCCAUUGAAAUUAUAUAUGUGAUCUGAGAGGCUUGGUCCUUUCCAGUCAUUCUAUUUCUAUGGCCCCAUUAACUAUCUGGAAGAUUUACUGUAAGUGUGUGGUCCCUUUGUCACGUCAGUGGUAGGUCACGUAUACUGUUGAUAAUACUGUAUUGUUGAUUUUGUAUAAAAGUAUUGUAUUUCUGUAUUUUCAAAGACGACAAUGUGUCCAAAAAAUAUAUUUUGACUGACUUUUACCCAGAUGUUUUUAGUUUUUUUGGUUGUUUCCUUUUUUAUGUCGUACUGUUCACUCUGCGCAACUCACCCUCUGUGUGUGUCGGCACUAUGUGGAAUGUAUUUUCUACAUUUAAGUGCACAAAACAUUUCUCUUUAUGUACAACAGUGUGUAAAACCUGAACGUAUGCAUAAGAUAACGUGCACAUUUAUGUAAUGUGUGUAUAUCCCUGAAAUUAAGAUAAUAUCUGAGGUAGAUGGAUUCAGUGUAAAUACUAUUUAUCUGUAGUGAAAUCAAGUGACUCUCUCACUGGCACAGCUUUUGAAGAAAAUUGAUAAAGUCCACACGCUGUGCAGUUAGGCUUAAGUUUGGCUAUAUUGAUGAGGCAGAAUGCGUUAUAUAAACUUUUCCACAUGUUCACAGAUCUAGGUAGCCUAGUCACAAAUAUGUUUGUGCUGUAUAUGACACUGGCUAUACAGUUGGCUAUACAGCCCAGACAGAUCUGGGAUCAGGCUAUCUAUGGUUUAGGACCUCUGGUCUUUUGAUUUAGGCCUAGUAGCUUCAUAUGAAUUGAAAGUAUGGCAUUAUGUGGAGUGAGUUUUGUUUUGCUGGUUUGCUAUUUGAUAGCUAGACAUUUUUGCACAUUUUUCUUCAAAAUGACAAAAGUUGUUUUUUCUUGAUUGUUCUAUAGUCUUAUUUAAAUUUUGAGUAGAAAGGGGUUUAUUUAUUUAAGUGUCAGCCAAAGCUGUUGUGUACGUUUGCUCCACCUGAUAAUAAAGUCAAGUCGGCAACUUUAAAAAAGAGAACAUAUCAUAAGUGAGCCGCCUAAUGCCCUGCAGAAGGUGUGGAGCCAUGGCACAAAACCCACAGUCUGAGUUUCUCAGGAG